GUGAGGAAUAUUGGUCAAUGGGCGGGAGCCUGAACCAGCCAAGUAGCGUGAAGGACGACGGCCCUACGGGUUGUAAACUUCUUUUAUAAGGGAAUAAAGUUCGCCACGCGUGGUGUUUUGUAUGUACCUUAUGAAUAAGCAUCGGCUAAUUCCGUGCCAGCAGCCGCGGUAAUACGGAAGAUGCGAGCGUUAUCCGGAUUUAUUGGGUUUAAAGGGAGCGUAGGCGGGCUUUUAAGUCAGCGGUCAAAUGUCGUGGCUCAACCAUGUCAAGCCGUUGAAACUGUAAGCCUUGAGUCUGCACAGGGCACAUGGAAUUCGUGGUGUAGCGGUGAAAUGCUUAGAUAUCACGAAGAACUCCGAUCGCGAAGGCAUUGUGCCGGGGCAGCACUGACGCUGAGGCUCGAAAGUGCGGGUAUCAAACAGGAUUAGAAACCCCAGUAGUCC
This 444-nucleotide ribosomal RNA is filed under the name uncultured bacterium. RNAcentral describes it as "bacterial SSU rRNA". It matches the Rfam family "Bacterial small subunit ribosomal RNA", at positions 354 to 796 of the family's 1533-position model. The record is from RNAcentral.